Molecule: long non-coding RNA, 688 nt
Organism: Hippocampus zosterae (dwarf seahorse)
Lineage: Eukaryota; Metazoa; Chordata; Actinopteri; Syngnathiformes; Syngnathidae
Exons: 2
Source: RefSeq, a predicted model, not a curated record
GUGUUCAAAAACGCCGGUGAUGAAAACAGGGCAUUCUUCUGCGCUUCAAUUUUCGCUUUUUUCACCUUGAAAAGUUGCCGUCGUUUUCUCCUCCUAUGACGUGGCGCACUCAAGACAAUGAGGCGUACUUCAUCUAUUUUUUCUGUAGUACCGUCAGUUUUUUUGUUUUGUUUUUCAGAAAAGCACGCUGCUAUUUUUUUUCUUAUGGCAUUUUGUUUCUCUUAAAAUGACAACUUUAUUCCUCUUAAUACCGGAGUAUUUUUUUUCACCCCGACCAUGACAGCUUUUUCUACUUAUGCCCCACCGUUUUCGACUUAUUCAACGCCUUGGCUUAUGUUUUGUCGAAGGCUGUUUUAUAAUGAAGCUCGGCGUUGUUCGACAGUGUGUUUGCUGCCUUAAGCCCUUGCAUGAAUAUGUGUUUUGCCGACCGCGGGCAUGAAUGAACAAUUCGAAACCGUCCAGGAAGUACACCGACGAGCACGGGCAAAUACAGUCAUGCCGCGGAGGGAUUUGCGGCCGGGAUGAACCAUUUCAGGAAAACUCCCCGUUCCUUCAUUGCCUACAUUUUUGAGGGUCGCGCGCAGGUGCUUUGAUUUCCUGGACGACUCACAUUGAGGAGUCCCGGACGUGUUGUGUCAACACAGACUUGACACUUGGGAUGGGACACUGGCAUAGCAAUAGCAUAGCA